This 445-nucleotide ribosomal RNA is filed under the name uncultured organism. Its description in RNAcentral is "partial 16S ribosomal RNA". It matches the Rfam family "Bacterial small subunit ribosomal RNA", at positions 334 to 796 of the family's 1533-position model. The record is from RNAcentral.
CACUCCUACGGGAGGCAGCAGUGGGGAAUAUUGGACAAUGGGCGCAAGCCUGAUCCAGCCAUGCCGCGUGAGUGAUGAAGGCCCUAGGGUUGUAAAGCUCUUUCACCGGUGAAGAUAAUGACGGUAACCGGAGAAGAAGCCCCGGCUAACUUCGUGCCAGCAGCCGCGGUAAUACGAAGGGGGCUAGCGUUGUUCGGAUUUACUGGGCGUAAAGCGCACGUAGGCGGACUAUUAAGUCAGGGGUGAAAUCCCGGGGCUCAACCCCGGAACUGCCUUUGAUACUGGUAGUCUUGAGUUCGAGAGAGGUGAGUGGAAUUCCGAGUGUAGAGGUGAAAUUCGUAGAUAUUCGGAGGAACACCAGUGGCGAAGGCGGCUCACUGGCUCGAUACUGACGCUGAGGUGCGAAAGCGUGGGGAGCAAACAGGAUUAGAUACCCGGGUAGUCC